AGUGAGCUUUCUAAGAUAACCUUUGAAUCCAUUGACACUUGAGUUACAACGAAAAAUGUUUUAAUAAAUUUAAAUAUGACUAACACACAUGACUCACUCAGGCCACAUCAUUUGUUUGGCACAGAUACUGACAGUGAAGUGAAAGUGCAUGUUUAAGAAGAGAGUUAUGUCUAAUAGAGGCUUUCAUUGCAUGCCACAAAAAAUCAAAAUAAAAGUGUUUUUGAUUGUAUAAAAUUAAAUACUGUACAUGUCUGUGUUGUAUAAUGAGUCUAUUCAGUAUUAUUUUUGUCAGUACUAUUAUUCAGUUUUGAAGACAAAUGUGAGUGAGCUGACCAAAGCGUUCUCUCUGGGUUAUUAAAUGACAUGUUAGCAGAUUUAGACAGAGACCCCUGCUGCUGAAGACUUGACACAAACAAAUUAUGCCCAUCUGCCACACACAACAAAAACAACUUUAAGUAAUUUAUUCUUCUAGGGAUGAAUCAUCACUGUUUGGUCAAUUUUACUAUAAGUGAUCAAAAUUCAGACAGCUGGGAAAGAUGAUUAUGAUAUUCUCGACAUAAGUGCUCAGCCUGCUGACCAUGACAUAAUACAGAGCGCUCCAGAGAUCACGAACAAUGCGUCAACAGUUUGAAUCUCACGCAUGAAACUGACACACUCCGAAUCAGUGAUAUCAAGGCCUGGAAUAGCAGUGCUAACUUUCAUGUGCGUCAUUCACUGAUUGAGGUGUUAACUAUGUGAUGUUACAAUAGUGAUGCUUGGCAGUACUCAAAGAAGUUGCAAACUUGCAAACAUCUCCUCGAACAGGUGAUUUUGAAGUCUGUGAGUGCUUGAGAAAGCGUGUGUCUGUGUGACUGAGAUUCAAAAUAUGAAAGUUGCUGGUGUGUUAGGCAGCCAUGAAAUUAGUUAUGCUAACUAAAAUUAAAUCUAUUUAAAAUCAAUUAAAAUAAUAUGAAUAUUAGAUGAAAAACUUAAAAUUACUAAAACAUAAAUUGAAAAUAUUAAAAUAAAAAGCUAAUUCAAAAUAAAUAGAUAUUAUAAUAGUAUAUAAAUAAUACUAAUAUAACACUGCUUGAAAUAUUUCAAAAGCUAAGGAUUGUGGUAUUGGUAUGCUCUAUAUGGAUGAGUCACUGACUGUACAGUGUGCGACAGAACCAUAUAGCAUGUUAAGUGUAUCACAUAUUGUACACUGAUGACACUAUGCAUGGUUGCUCACAUACAAAAAGUCAAUAACAAUCCAUCCAUACACACAUUCACACAUUACACAUACAGAAUAGUGGCAUAAAUCUGACAAACCGAUUACAGUAAGAGGUGAAAACUGAAAAUAAAAUAAAAUAAAAUUUUGCUUUCACAAAAAAACAUUUUGAUACUAUUUGAGCCAUGGACCACUACUAAACAGCAUCAUGUUAUUAUGAUGGUUUUCUUGAUAUAUCUGGAAGUAUCUUUGAAGUAAAUGCUAUUGUUUAUGUAUAAAAUAAUAAUUCAGUACCAUAAUAUAUAUCUAAGUACCAUCACUGUCACAAUAUGUUCGAACAUAUCAGAAUACACUUCAAUUAAAAGUAAUGAAGUGCACUAAUCAAACACCUUCUAUUAGCACCUCUGAGGAUAGAUACAUCAGGUUCAAACAUGUUCAGCUGCGACCUAUCCCAGGAGUUUUUCUCUUAUUCAUAUAUUCAUCCAAACAUCUGAUGAGAUUUUUCUUCCCCAAAGAAAAUGAGAGAGGGGGAACAGAUGGUCCAAGGCCUCUGGCUUUCACACCCAGCCCUUAAACCAAACAGAUUGGUAUGACAACAGCCAGCACCCAGCAGCAGCCAUGGGUACGGCAAGUGUAAGGAGUUCUGCCUCGAAAGCGAUUGGGUAACAAGAGGGCAGCAGGAUCUCACACUGGCUGUCUCUUCAAAGAUCUUCAGAGGGCUGUGAGCUAAUUGGCUGGCGUGAGUUAAAAGCGAGCGAGUAGGAACACAGUGUCCUGACCUUAGUUUCUGGAAGCCACCAGCAUAAGAACUCACUGUGCUCUGCAGCCAAAAGGCUGGUCACAUGCACAUACUGAGACACAUUUUAUUCAAGCCGACUCUUGAGGCUCAGCUCUUUAUUUUCUUACUGUGCAUUUAUGUAUCUAUUCAACAUCCUUUAUUUGUGUCCUCGAUUAUUUUAGACACAUUUGUAAACAGUUUAUAGUAGCUCAAAUUUGUCCUAUAUUUCAGUGCAUUCUGUUUUAAAAUAAAGGACACAUUUGGGACAAGUUGGGAAACCUGGAAGAAACUGUCUCAUCAGAAAUGGGACAUCUGGACGCCGUAACUCAAACUCAACCAUCAAUGUUGAUGAUAAGCCACGACAUUUCAUUUCAAUGUUAUCUUGAAAAUGAUUGACAAUCUAGAUGGGCAGGAGAGAGAUUUUGUGUAAGGUCACAGGCAUGUGAAGAACAGGACCUUUGGCAAUUCUUGGAAUGUAAUCGCUAGAUACACAGAUAAGAGUAAGACACAUUCCUUCAGAAAGGCAUUGCUUACUUAGAAGUCCAUUUGUACCUGAAUAUUACAUAAUGCUACAUUCUGAUUUUUCUUUGUUGCAUAACAAACACUGGCUACACUGGGAAAUGUGGUCAUCGCCACUCUAAUAAUUGAUGUUAUGGCCCUUGGACUGUGUUGUUGUAAAAUACUGAAAAUAUGGCAGUUUUCCCAUCAUUAAAAGCUACAUAACUGUUUUAAAUGGAUUCUCACUCUUUUCGAUUAUUCGCUGUCAACACACACACACACACAAUACAAAUUUUAUAGUACUAUUUAACAUCUAACAGUGCACUAAUAUUGGGUAAAAAGAUUAAUAAAAAGAAAAUAUUUAAGAUAUUUCAAUCAUUUCUUUUUACUCAUACAUAAAAAUGUAAAGCUGUCAUAAUUUAAAAGGGGGGUCGUUGAUAAAUAGCUAUGUGCUAUAUUCACUACAUGCAUGUAUGAAAUCUAGCUCAGUAUUGAGAGUGUUUUAGUAUAAAUAUGUAGCCCAGCACAGAAAAACAGACAUAGACAUCCUAACACUUUGCCUUUCUGGACUAAAUAUGGCCCAAAAGUGUAAGAACGAUCUAACGUAGGCUAUACUGCACAAUGAGGUGGUAACAUGCACAUGCCUCUAAGUUAUGUAGCCUGAACUACAUAACAGAUGACUCAAUAUAAUCCGUUUUAAUUUACACUCUAAUUAACAGUUCUUAAAUGGUUUUCUAACUUCUCAAUGAAUAAUGCGCCGCCUCCUCAGCGCGACGCAACAGCUGCGCAGGUAGAUGGCGUAAGUCGCUCAAUGCAAAGCCAGGGGCUUAAAACGCAUCUAAACAAUGUGUGGCGUUACGUAACAGUCCUCGCUACGAACAUUUACAUUAUUUAUAUAUUAUAGGCAGUGACGCGAAAAAAGUAAAGCUUCCUUAUGAAACAGCAUUAUGAAUUUGAAAACACGCUGAAGUAAAAGCUGACAUUUCAGGACGCGAGAAGGCUGGUCACUUGGCAAGAAGAAAAUACUCAAUUUAUUUCAUUUGCCUUCAUAUGAGCGAAGAUGGCAUGCAACUGUUGCUUAUUAUUCAGAUUUCCAAUAGUUGGGCUCCUUCACCCAAGGGACUGGACGUUGAGUUGUUGCCAUACUAUAAACUGCAUCUGAAACUGUCUGUUAAGGACAACUUCAUCUUCCGAGGCUCACGGCUGAUUGCACCUGCGGCUCUUCAAUCUGUACUGGUCUCCAUAGUGCACAAAGGACAUCAAGGAGAGGUUCACCGUAGUCAACCGGAUCCGGGCCGUAUCCAGGUGAGACCAAGGACCUGCACCUUGACACGACCACAACGCAGCCCUGACGGAUCAGCAGAGAUUGAGUCAACUAGAUCAUCCACUGUAAGGGCCUCAUCGACACGACAGCCACGACACAGUUCCUCAACAACCGUCCAUACCGGCGUGAUCCUCAAUAGGAUGGAACUGAAAUAAAUACUUUUAAUGUUGCGAUCCUAUUGGACUUAUGAUAGCAACCUGAAUUGUAACAAAGCACUGUUGGCCAGAGGAGAACUGGCACCCCGACUAAGCCUGGUUUCUCCCAAGGUUUUUUUCUCCAUUUUAACACCAAUUUGCCACUUGUCUGCCACCUAAUGUCACCUGAUGGAGUUUGGGUUCCUUGCCGCUGUCGCCUCUGGCUUGCUUAGUUGGGGACACUUGACUUGACAUUUGAUAUUCAACAGUGCUUUGAUCUGCCUGCAUUGACACUAUUCUUUAAGAGCUGCUGUGCAGCCAAACAAUGUACCAGUUAUCAAUGUAAAGCUGCUUUGACACAAUCUACAUUGUAAAAAGUGCUAUAUAAAUAAAGGUGACUUGACUUGACAGUAAAUCUGUACUGCUAUA
Long non-coding RNA from Ctenopharyngodon idella (grass carp), 4355 nucleotides. RefSeq lists it as uncharacterized. The record is from RefSeq and is a predicted model, not a curated record. The transcript has 4 exons. NCBI's taxonomy places the organism in Eukaryota, Metazoa, Chordata, Actinopteri, Cypriniformes, Xenocyprididae.